AUUGAACGCUGGCGGCAGGCCUAACACAUGCAAGUCGAGCGGAUGAAGGGAGCUUGCUCCUGGAUUCAGCGGCGGACGGGUGAGUAAUGCCUAGGAAUCUGCCUGGUAGUGGGGGAUAACGUCCGGAAACGGGCGCUAAUACCGCAUACGUCCUGAGGGUGAACGUGGGGGUUCUUCGGACCUCACGCUAUCCGCUGUGCCUAGGUCGGAUUAGCUAGUUGGUUGGGUAAAGGCCUACCAAGGCGACGAUCCGUAACUGGUCUGAGAGGAUGAUCAGUCACACUGGAACUGAGACACGGUCCAGACUCCUACGGGAGGCAGCAGUGGGGAAUAUUGGACAAUGGGCGAAAGCCUGAUCCAGCCAUGCCGCGUGUGUGAAGAAGGUCUUCGGAUUGUAAAGCACUUUAAGUUGGGAGGAAGGGAAGUAAGUUAAUACCUUGCUGUAUUGACGUUACCAACAGAAAAAGCACCGGCUAACUUCGUG
RNAcentral lists this ribosomal RNA (484 nucleotides) under uncultured bacterium. RNAcentral describes it as "partial 16S ribosomal RNA". It matches the Rfam family "Bacterial small subunit ribosomal RNA", at positions 30 to 507 of the family's 1533-position model. The record is from RNAcentral.